Molecule: long non-coding RNA, 1553 nt
Filed under: Vigna radiata
Lineage: Eukaryota; Viridiplantae; Streptophyta; Magnoliopsida; Fabales; Fabaceae
Description: long non-coding RNA (VRAD_LNC002142)
Source: RNAcentral
UCUUAAAACUUUUUUCAUCAUGGUCAGUCAUCGUAUCUCUUUCAUCCACGACUGUACCUUUGCCAAACAGUUUUCGCCACCCAGAUCUCCACGAUAUUGCUGUGAGCUCCCUCCUUUUCUUUCUUCGAUUUUCCAUAUGGUGAGAGGGGUUUUGCUCCUCCUUCUUCCUUCUUCUCAAAUCUGGUUCCUCAUGGAAGAUCUAGCCAGACUCUGUGUAUCCCAUUCUGGUUAGAGUAGUCAUCUCGUGCGAUGCAGGUUUCAUCUUCCUUUCUUUUGCUAUUUUUAAUUUCCCAUUUUUGAUUAAUUGUUAUUUAGUUUUUUGGUUUUGACUUAAGGAUGAAGAAGGUAGUAAAAAUAUUCUUGGUGUGAUGAUAGAUCUGUCGUUUAUUGUUUAUUGUUUAUUUGAAUGGAAGAUUGUUUGGUGAUUUAAGAGGUAGAAUAAGAAUAUAAUGUUGGUUUGUGUGCUAGGUCUGUUAAAUGGGAGUAGAAAAUAUGAAAAUGGUGAUAGAGAAAAGGAAUGGAGUGGGUUUCACUGUAAGAAAUUUUGUUCAUGAAAUUAAACAUGAAUAAAAAUAGAGAACCUGUAGCUUGAAAUAUGCAUGAUGCUUGAAAUAUGGGAAGAUUGAUUUAGUUUUUUAUGAUGAAUUUUGACUCAUUGAUUUUGCUUUGUUUCAGGAAGAUGACGACAAAACUUGUGGAGGAGAGAGGGCUGCAAUUGAAGCAAAUUAAUAUUACGUAAAGGUACAGUGCUUUGAAUUAAUUUAAUAUAAAUGUAAAGGAUAGUGCUUUGAAUUGAUCUUAUUUUAUUUGCAUUUCUAUUUUGAGAAGACCAUUUAAAAGAUUGGAGCUUUGAAAAUAUUCUACGUAUACAUCCAAAUGAAACUUAAAAUAUGCAUAAUAAUUCAUCGUACAUAUCAUGCUUUUGGCACCAUGUAAUAGUUAGCUGAAACAAAUUUUAUUUUAAAUUAUUCAUUGACUACUUUUACUAUUAAAUGAUGACUUUUCUCACACUUUUAAAAUUUAUGUAUACAUUCAUUUUAAAUGCUUUUUGAUAUGAUUUAUUUUUUUAUUUUAUUUCAAAGUUUAAUUUAUAAUUAUUUAGUUAGUUUUUAAGAUUACAAUAGUAAUAAUAAUAAUUAUUAUUAUUAUAUAUAAUCAGUUUUUUCUAUUACUUAAUAAUUGAAUAAUUUUACACUUAGUUAUUAUUGAUUUUUUAUUAUGUAAAUUUAAGUAUUUUUAAAAGUAUUUGCAUACUUAAAUUUAUUAAUAAUUGAAGUAGGUGCACAUGAAAUGAUGACAUGGAAAAAGAAGAAGAAGGUGAUGUUGUGUCAAAGCUUUAUGGCCAUGUUGUUGUCAAGGUUGAGCAGAAACCAAAAAAAUAUAUAAUAUAUAUGGAUAAAUUAUGGACAAAUUAUGCUCAUGUUUUGUUUAGAUUAUUUUUAAAUUUAAAAGUUAAAGUUAAACUUUUGUUUACACUACACAUUUUGUGUUAGACAUCUUACUAUUUAUUUUUCAUUUUGAAAUUUUUAUUAUGUACUUGAGUGGAAUAAUUU